Esox lucius (northern pike) is the source of this 1019-nucleotide long non-coding RNA. NCBI's taxonomy places the organism in Eukaryota, Metazoa, Chordata, Actinopteri, Esociformes, Esocidae. The record is from Ensembl.
CACCGAGUGGCUACCACUCGUACCAAGAUGAUAGGGUCACAGAGAAAGGUCUGGGGAGAUGACAGUAGAAUGAAAUGGUAUAUGGGAAUUGGUGGAAUAAUGAUGUGUGUUGUGUGUUGUUACAGGUUUCCCAGGUUGGCAUCGGGUCUUCAUUCCCCCAGCGAAGAGGUUCGCGACCCCACCUGAGGACACCUGUUUGAGGAAAUUUGGGGGCAUUGAAUUGGACUAUGUCAAGGGGUCACAUACGAGCAUUCUGGGAUAGAUAAUCCGCUGGAGGAAUGGCUGACCUCGAUGUUUGGCCAGUGGAUAGAGGGCUCGCCAUGAGAGUGAUCUCUACAGCCAUUGAGAAGGCUCCAGGACCGCCACCAGGGAUGCUGAUGCCUCUACUGGAGCAGCAUGACCCGGGAGAACUGGAGCUUGGCGAAUAGGGGUGAUCUCUCUGGGGAGAGAUCAAAAGGGGGAAUUGUAGAUGUAUUGAUUGUAUAAGUUAGUGAACUGUUGUAAGAAAUGAAACAAAAUAUUAAUUGUUUGUAACUGUGUUGAAACUGAAGGUGCAAGUAGGAGAACAGGAAACCCUGUUCAAGUGGUUGCCGGGGAGAGAAAGAUUUAGUAUGUCUGUCUUUUGAGAAACAGGACACAGGUUAGAGACACACACACAUAGUCGGACAGACAACACAGAAACUGCAAGGGGGGCAAGGGGAUACUUGCAGUUAUCCUUACAAGGAAUAGAACUGGGAUUGGACCAAUAGCACACUUGCUUUGUGAACUUAACGACUCUAUCUUUUGGGCGUAGUGGAAGUAUAAAAUGAUGUUUUGACUGUUGAUCCUUAGACAUUGUGCGGCGACACCUUGUCUCCAAAAGCUUUUGUAAAAAACUGAAUAUAUGGUACGCUAAUUGACCUGACUCCUGGUGUUUUUUUCUCCUUUCCAACAAACCAACUCGGGGAAGUGUUGACUUCAACAGCGAGCAGCCAGUCAUCGGCCUUGCCAUUUUGGAGGAUCUCCGCGAUUUUCUCCAA